Long non-coding RNA from Passer domesticus (house sparrow), 706 nucleotides. RefSeq lists it as uncharacterized. The record is from RefSeq and is a predicted model, not a curated record. Lineage: Eukaryota; Metazoa; Chordata; Aves; Passeriformes; Passeridae. The transcript has 3 exons.
UCCUGCCAGGCUGGUGUGUGGGGAGAGGGGCUUCUGUCCCAGUUCACAGCCAGGGUGUGAGGAAGGAAUUGCCUGCCUCUGUUCUGAGUGGGCAAAGGAGAAUUUUAAUAAGAAAGAGAAGGAGUUCAAGUCUAUCUGUAAUAGUCAGAUAUUGAGGAUUUAUGCUAUUAUAGGUAAUAGCAGUGUGAAUGGUAGCUCUUAUGGUGCUUUUUUUCCUUCUUCAGAGAAACUGUCUUUUUCAUCUGAUAUCAUGGGUGAGAGAAGGCUACACAGAGCCUUAAACUUGCAAAAGGGAUUUGUGAGCAGCCUGCUUGUCAAGAACAAAUACUAGUCAAAAGAAAUGCCUGACUUAUUGACCUUGGGUUCACUGAACCUUCGUCUUGAUGCUUCCGUACCUCUGAGGAAUCAGCUCCUCUGAAAAUUAAAGUUCCCAGAUUAGAAUAGAGGCUUCAACAAAGGAGCUGUGUGGCUUUACAAAUACACAUCGAUUAGAGGACUUUGGAAGAGCUUUGUUAGAAAAGUGGAAUUAUGAAAAGCAAAUGUUUGAGAGAUUUGGUGCAGAGUAACAGAUGUACCUUCCCUCUGGUGUGCUGGGUGACUCUUCUGCUUCACAAUCCCAGUUGUCUGUGGGCAAACACACAAAUGAGAAAGAGGAGGAGGGAGCUGUGUGCCCUGCUUGGGCAGUCUCUGCACAGCUCUGGGCAGG